This 212-nucleotide unclassified non-coding RNA is filed under the name Hevea brasiliensis (rubber tree). Lineage: Eukaryota; Viridiplantae; Streptophyta; Magnoliopsida; Malpighiales; Euphorbiaceae. The record is from RNAcentral.
CAACAGCCAAACAAGUAGCACUGUAGCAGUGGUUUUCUUCAAUCUUCGCAGCGACUCAUAAUUGGAAUUUUCAGUAAUGGCGAAGAUUGGCAAGAUAGUGCUUGACUCUGGGCGGCCAGAUCAACGGAGGUGCAACUCACUGGGACGCAACUAACAACCACUCAUCCUCCUAGUGGGCCUACCUCGCCUUGGAUGGAAGCUGAUGUCCCCGG